Long non-coding RNA from Herpailurus yagouaroundi (jaguarundi), 1660 nucleotides. RefSeq lists it as uncharacterized. The record is from RefSeq and is a predicted model, not a curated record. The transcript is spliced from 2 exons. NCBI's taxonomy places the organism in Eukaryota, Metazoa, Chordata, Mammalia, Carnivora, Felidae.
UGAACAAUUGUCCUAAAAAAAAAAAAAAAAUGAACAGCCUCAAGGACUUUGGGGACUAUAACAAAAGAGUUGACAUUUGUGUCAUCAGAGUUCUAGAAGGAGAGAUAAAGGGGAGUGGAGCUGAGAAAGUACAUGGAGAAAUAAGGAGUGAAAGCUCCCCAAAUUUGGCAAAAGACAUAAACCUACAGAUUCAAAAGUUGACCAAACCACAAACAGGAUGAACCCAAAGAAAUUUGUAUCAAUACAACACAGUCAACUUCUGAAAACUAAAGACAAAGAAAAAAUCUUGCAACCAAGGAUAGAGAAAUAGCACCUUAAUAGGGGAAAAACAGCUUAAAUGACAGCAGAUUUCUCAUCAGAAACCCUGGGGCCAAAGGAGGUGAUACAACAGUUUUCAAGUGCUCCAGGCAAAGAACCAUUGAUAUAGAAUCCUAGUUCCAGCAAAAAUAAAAGGGGAAGUCAAGACACUUGAAGAUGAAGGAAUGCUGAGAUAUCUUUUUGCCAUUAGACCUAUCCUACAAGAAUGGCUAAGAAAAGUUCUCUAAACGGAAAAGAAUAAAAGCAGGAAUUCUGGAACAUCAGGAAGAAAGAACACAGUAUGCAGAAUUGUGGGUCAAUAGCACGGACUUUGCUUCUCCUCUUGGGUUUUCUAAAUUAUGUUUGAUAUUUGAAACACAAUUUAUAACAUGCUCUGAUGUGGCUCAUUUAAGACAAUUAUAAAUUAUAUAAUAAAUAAAGGAGGGUAAAGGAACAGAAAGGGAGGUAAAGUUUUUACACUUUGUUUGAACUGAUAAAAUGAUGACACCAGUAAACUGUGAUAAGUUAUGUAUAUAUAAUAUAACUAGAGCAACCACUAACAAAGCUAUACUAAGAGAUACACUUAAAAAAAAUUAUAGGGAAAUACAAAUGAAAAAUUUGUUCAAGUAACCCACAGGAGGGCAGGAAAAGGAGAACAGAGAAACAAAACCCAGAGAGAGCAAAGAAAACAAAAACUUAAGCCCUCACACAUCAAUAAUAACAUAAAUGGUCCACAGCACCAUUUAAAAGACCGAGUAGAUUUUUUAAAAUGACCCAACUAUCUUAUUUCAGGUUACUAUAACAAAAUGCCAUAAACCUGGCAGCUUAGACAAUAGAAAUGUAUUCCUCACAGUUCUGGAGGUAGGAAGUCCAGAUCAGGUGCCAGCAUGGUCCUGUUCUAGUGAAGCCCCUCUUCUGAGUUGUGGACAGCUGACUGUUUAUAUUUCCACAUGGUGGAAACAGAGUCAGCUCACUCUCUGGCUUCUUCUCCUAAGGAUACUAAUCAAAUUCAUGAGGGCUCCACCCUCAUGACCUAAUUACCUCCUAAAGGCCCCACCUCCAAAUACCAUCACAUUGGGAUUAGGAUUUCAACAUAUGAAUUUGGGAGGGGACACAUACAUUCAGUCCCUAUCGCCAACUAUGUGCUAUCUACAAGAAAUUGGCCUUCUAUAUAACAGUAUAGGGAGGUUGAAAAUAAAAGGGUGGAAAAGAUGUGCCUUACAAAUAUUAAUCUGAAGAAAACGGAAGUAUCUAUAUUAAUAUCAGAUAAAUUAGAUUUGAAAGCAAAGAAAAUUACCAGACAAAAGUGGCACAUUACAAAAUGACAUUGUUAAUCUACUAAAACAUGGCAAUCCUAAAUGUG